UGGCAGACAACAGUGGCGGAAAGAGACGAUUGAAGAACAUUUUGGUGCUCUAAGGACUGUGAACACAAACAAAAGAGGCGCAGAGCAAGUAAACGUCACCAGAGUGCCAAGACGGGCCACCAGCACCUGUGUGGGACGCGUGUACCUUUCCCGGCGCGCUGGUGACUGUAAAGAUCCGCCACUUGUACGCAGGGAUCCUUUUUGCUGUGACCUGUCCUCUGAGGUGGAGAUGGGCGGGACUCUUCACGACGCCACAACACAACAUGACUCGCCUGCAAGAAAUACUGAACUGCCUUGUGGAUGGACGACUCGCCAACGCUUUCUUCAGGUCCAUCGCUACCAGGAAUUCUGUACCAGCGCCACAAGAAAAGAAGCGACGUGCCAGGUCCUGCGAUGGAAUCCUGUGGAAUAUUCUCUCGGUUUAUACAAUAUGAUUAUGAUUUUUUUUUUAAUGUUAACGAAUUGCUUACAUAAGAUUCAGUUUUUCAUAUAUUUUUUAGUUCCCUUAAUUAAGAACCCACAGCAGCCUCGGUAAGAAAGGAUCUUGCCAUAAUGUAGAGAAUUCAUUUCUACAAAAGAUGUGGUGAAUAAUUAUUACAUAAUGAACGUAAUGAACGAAAAAAAUAAACCCUGCA
This 635-nucleotide long non-coding RNA is filed under the name Portunus trituberculatus (swimming crab). Its description in RNAcentral is "uncharacterized LOC123516325, transcript variant X1". Lineage: Eukaryota; Metazoa; Arthropoda; Malacostraca; Decapoda; Portunidae. The record is from RNAcentral.